RNAcentral lists this ribosomal RNA (250 nucleotides) under uncultured Actinomyces sp. Its description in RNAcentral is "partial 16S ribosomal RNA". It matches the Rfam family "Bacterial small subunit ribosomal RNA", at positions 92 to 339 of the family's 1533-position model. The record is from RNAcentral. Lineage: Bacteria; Bacillati; Actinomycetota; Actinomycetes; Actinomycetales; Actinomycetaceae.
UGAGUGGCGAACGGGUGAGUAACACGUGAGUAACCUGCCCCCUUCUUCUGGAUAACCGCAUGAAAGUGUGGCUAAUACGGGAUAUUCUGGGUCUGUCGCAUGAUGGGUCUGGGAAAGAUAUUGUUUCGGUGGGGGAUGGGCUCGCGGCCUAUCAGCUUGUUGGUGGGGUGAUGGCCUACCAAGGCGGUGACGGGUAGCCGGCCUGAGAGGGUGGACGGUCACACUGGGACUGAGACACGGCCCAGACUCC